UUCCGUAGGGGUACCUGCGGAGGGAUCAUUACACAAAUAUGAAGGCGGGCUGGAACCUCUCGGGGUUACAGCCUUGCUGAAUUAUUCACCCUUGUCUUUUGCGUACUUCUUGUUUCCUUGGUGGGUUCGCCCACCACUAGGACAAACAUAAACCUUUUGUAAUUGCAAUCAGCGUCAGUAACAAAUUAAUAAUUACAACUUUCAACAACGGAUCUCUUGGUUCUGGCAUCGAUGAAGAACGCAGCGAAAUGCGAUAAGUAGUGUGAAUUGCAGAAUUCAGUGAAUCAUCGAAUCUUUGAACGCACAUUGCGCCCUUUGGUAUUCCAAAGGGCAUGCCUGUUCGAGCGUCAUUUGUACCCUCAAGCUUUGCUUGGUGUUGGGCGUCUUGUCUCUAGCUUUGCUGGAGACUCGCCUUAAAGUAAUUGGCAGCCGGCCUACUGGUUUCGGAGCGCAGCACAAGUCGCACUCUCUAUCAGCAAAGGUCUAGCAUCCAUUAAGCCUUUUUUCAACUUUGACCUCGAUCAGGUAGGCUCCCCCAG
RNAcentral lists this ribosomal RNA (539 nucleotides) under Alternaria alternata. RNAcentral's name for it is "eukaryotic LSU rRNA". The stretch from base 197 to 350 matches the Rfam family "5.8S ribosomal RNA". The record is from RNAcentral. Lineage: Eukaryota; Fungi; Ascomycota; Dothideomycetes; Pleosporales; Pleosporaceae.